UGGCGGAUGCCAAUUCCCUACCUUGACAUGGUAGGGGUCACAGGUUCGAACCCUGUACCGCCCACCA
RNAcentral lists this transfer RNA (67 nucleotides) under Pseudoxanthomonas daejeonensis. Its description in RNAcentral is "tRNA-Ser". Lineage: Bacteria; Pseudomonadati; Pseudomonadota; Gammaproteobacteria; Lysobacterales; Lysobacteraceae. The record is from RNAcentral.